RNAcentral lists this transfer RNA (85 nucleotides) under Caudoviricetes sp. Its description in RNAcentral is "tRNA-Ser". It matches the Rfam family "tRNA". Rfam says of the family: Transfer RNA (tRNA) molecules are approximately 80 nucleotides in length. The record is from RNAcentral. Lineage: Duplodnaviria; Heunggongvirae; Uroviricota; Caudoviricetes.
GUUGAGGUAGCCUAGCCUGGUCUAUGGCGUUAGACUGCUAAUCUAAUGAUGUAAUAUCCCAUGGGUUCAAAUCCCAUCCUCAACG